CCGGUUGAUCCUGGCGGAGGUCACUGCUAUCGGGGUUCGAUUAAGCCAUGCGAGUCGAGAGGGUUCGGCCCUCGGCGUACUGCUCAGUAACACGUGGAUAACCUGCCCUAAGGAAGGGGAUACCCUCGGGAAACUGAGGAUAAUACCCUAUAGGUUACCGAUGCUGGAAUGCUCGGUAACUCAAAGUUCCGGCGCCUUAGGAUGGAUCUGCGGCCGAUUAGGUAGUUGUUGGGGUAACGGCCCAACAAGCCCGUAAUCGGUACGGGUUGUGGGAGCAAGAGCCCGGAGUUGGAUUCUGAGACACGAAUCCAGGCCCUACGGGGCGCAGCAGGCGCGAAAACUUUACAAUGCGGGCAACCGUGAUAAGGGAACCUCGAGUGCCUGUACAUGCAGGCUGUCUGGGUGUCUAAAACACACCCAAAGAAAGGGCCGGGCAAGACCGGUGCCAGCCGCCGCGGUAAUACCGGCGGCUCGAGUGGUGGCCACUUUUAUUGGGCUUAAAGCGUUCGUAGCUGGGUUGUUAAGUCUCUUGGGAAAUCCGGCGGCUUAACCGUCGGGCGUCUAAGAGAUACUGGCAAUCUUGGAACCGGGAGAGGUGAGGGGUACUUCGGGGGUAGGAGUGAAAUCCUGUAAUCCUCGAGGGACCACCUGUGGCGAAGGCGCCUCACCAGAACGGCUUCGACAGUGAGGGACGAAAGCUGGGGGAGCAAACCGGAUUAGAUACCCGGGUAGUCCCAGCCGUAAACGAUGUGCGUUAGGUGUAUCGACGACCACGAGUCGUCGAGGUGCCGAAGGGAAACCGUGAAACGUACCGCCUGGGAAGUACGGUCGCAAGGCUGAAACUUAAAGGAAUUGGCGGGGGAGCACCACAACAGGUGGAGCCUGCGGUUUAAUUGGACUCAACGCCGGGAAGCUCACCGGAUAGGACAGCGGAAUGAUUGCCGGGCUGAAGACUCUGCAUGACUAGCUGAGAGGAGGUGCAUGGCCGUCGUCAGUUCGUACUGUGAAGCAUCCUGUUAAGUCAGGCAACGAGCGAGACCCA
This 1042-nucleotide ribosomal RNA is filed under the name uncultured archaeon. RNAcentral's name for it is "bacterial SSU rRNA". It matches the Rfam family "Archaeal small subunit ribosomal RNA", at positions 4 to 1054 of the family's 1478-position model. The record is from RNAcentral.